CUGACUGUGCUAAGGUAGCAUAAUCAUUUGUUAUCUAAAUGAUAACUAGUAUGAAGGGUCUGACGAGAAAAUAACUUUCUAAAAAGAAAUAAUAAAAAUUUAUCUUAAAGUAAAAAAGCUUUAAAAACUUAGAAAGACGAGAAGACCCUAGAACCUGUCUAUCUGCAUAGUUUGUUGGGGUGACAUUAUUUUAAAACAAAUAACUAUUUUAACUCAUUAAGAGACUUAACCUAUCUUUUUUAAAAAAAAAAAAAGGUACUCUAGGGAUAACAGCAUAAUCUUCUUUUAGAGCCCUAAUCGACAAGAAAGAUUUUGACCUCGAUGUUGAAUUGAUAUUCCUUCUUAAAGCAGAAUUUCUA
This 359-nucleotide ribosomal RNA is filed under the name Armadillo officinalis (oak-woodland pillbug). RNAcentral describes it as "partial large subunit ribosomal RNA". It matches the Rfam family "Bacterial large subunit ribosomal RNA", at positions 1942 to 2566 of the family's 2925-position model. Lineage: Eukaryota; Metazoa; Arthropoda; Malacostraca; Isopoda; Armadillidae. The record is from RNAcentral.